UACGAAGGGGGCUAGCGUUGUUCGGAUUAACUGGGCGUAAAGGGUGCGUAGGCGGGUUUUUAAGUCAGGGGUGAAAUCCCGAGGCUCAACCUCGGAACUGCCUUUGAUACUGGAAAUCUUGAGUCUGGGAGAGGUGAGUGGAACUGCGAGUGUAGAGGUGAAAUUCGUAGAUAUUCGCAAGAACACCGGUGGCGAAGGCGGCUCACUGGCCCGGAACUGACGCUGAUGCACGAAAGCUAGGGGAGCAAACAGG
This 253-nucleotide ribosomal RNA is filed under the name uncultured bacterium. RNAcentral describes it as "partial 16S ribosomal RNA". It matches the Rfam family "Bacterial small subunit ribosomal RNA", at positions 524 to 776 of the family's 1533-position model. The record is from RNAcentral.